CAACGGAUCUCUUGGCUCUCGCAUCGAUGAAGAACGCAGCGAAAUGCGAUAAGUAAUGUGAAUUGCAGAAUUCAGUGAAUCAUCGAAUCUUUGAACGCACCUUGCGCUCCUUGGUAUUCCGAGGAGCAUGCCUGUUUGAGUGUCGUGAACGCAUCGAACCCCAUCUUCUGUUCCUGCAUGCAGGUCGGGCUGGGGAUCGGACUUGGACGCCUGCCUUGCACUUGUGCAAAGCUCGUCUUGAAAUGCAUCAGCUGGUUGCCGCGACCACGAACACCGUCUCAAAAUGCCCGGUGUGAUAAUAAAACUUGCACUGCCGCUGACUGGUCGGAUUGUGUCUGCCGUACGCCAACUUCCAAUCGUCCAGCUCUGGACAACGCCCUGCAAGGGGUGUUCACCCAUCUCAUUUGACCUCAAAUCAGGUAGGACUACCCGCUGAACUUAAGCAUAUCAAUAAGCGGAGGAAAAGAAACUAACAAGGAUUCCCCUAGUAACUGCGAGUGAAGCGGGAAGAGCUCAAAUUUGAAAUCUGGCGGUUCCACCGUCCGAGUUGUAGUCUAGAGAA
Molecule: ribosomal RNA, 562 nt
Filed under: uncultured Entoloma
Lineage: Eukaryota; Fungi; Basidiomycota; Agaricomycetes; Agaricales; Entolomataceae
Description: eukaryotic LSU rRNA
Rfam family: 5.8S ribosomal RNA (bases 1-145)
Source: RNAcentral